Molecule: non-coding RNA, 31 nt
Filed under: Rattus norvegicus (Norway rat)
Lineage: Eukaryota; Metazoa; Chordata; Mammalia; Rodentia; Muridae
Source: RNAcentral
UUAUAGAGGUAAAAUGACAGCACAGUGUGAC